GUGUCAGCAGCCGCGGUAAUACGGAGGGUGCAAGCGUUAAUCGGAAUUACUGGGCGUAAAGCGCAUGCAGGUGGUUUGUUAAGUCAGAUGUGAAAGCCCGGGGCUCAACCUCGGAAUUGCAUUUGAAACUGGCAGGCUAGAGUACUGUAGAGGGGGGUAGAAUUUCAGGUGUAGCGGUGAAAUGCGUAGAGAUCUGAAGGAAUACCGGUGGCGAAGGCGGCCCCCUGGACAGAUACUGACACUCAGAUGCGAAAGCGUGGGGAGCAAACAGGAUUAGAAACCCCCGUAGUCC
RNAcentral lists this ribosomal RNA (292 nucleotides) under uncultured prokaryote. Its description in RNAcentral is "partial 16S ribosomal RNA". It matches the Rfam family "Bacterial small subunit ribosomal RNA", at positions 505 to 796 of the family's 1533-position model. The record is from RNAcentral.